GAUGAACGCUGGCGGCGUGCCUAAUACAUGCCAGUCGAGCGAACAGACGAGGCGCUUGCUCCUCUGACGUUAGCGGCGGACGGGUGAGUAACACGUGUAUACCCUCCCUAUAAGACUGGGAUAACUUCGGGAAACCGGCGCUAAUACCGGAUAAUAUAUUGAACCGCAUGGUUCAAUAGUGAAAGACGGUUGUGCUGUCACUUAUAGAUGGAUCCGCGCGGGUUUAGCUGGUUGGUAGGGUCACGGCUUACCAAGGCGACGAGGCGUGUCCGAACGGUGAGAGGGGUAGGCGACAUGGGAAGUGAGACACGGUCCAGGGUCCUAAGGGAGGGAGCAGUAUGGAAUCUGACGCAGUGGUCGAAAGCCUGACGGAGCAACGCCACGUGUGUGAUGAAGGUCUCCGGAUCGUAAAACUGUGUUAUUAGGGAAGAACAAAUGUGUAAGUAACUGUACACUUCUUGACGGUACCUAAUCAGAAAGCCACGGCUAACUACGUG
This 497-nucleotide ribosomal RNA is filed under the name uncultured bacterium. Its description in RNAcentral is "partial 16S ribosomal RNA". It matches the Rfam family "Bacterial small subunit ribosomal RNA", at positions 28 to 507 of the family's 1533-position model. The record is from RNAcentral.